CACAGGACUACACGCUCAAGCAUAAGUGUGGAGGAAGGCGUCUUAAUCACCUCUUUUCUUUUCGCUCAUGCUCAGGCAUCAGAGCUGCAAUAAUCGGCGCUGAGCACGACAGCGGUCAUGGAUGCGGCUGGUGCUCAAGAGGACUCGGGCACAAUUCCAUUACAGCUCGAUAUUGGCUACGUAGAUGUGCCACGUGAUGCGUGCUUUUCCUGGCUGCAGCGCAAGUACGCCAACAUCAAGCCUGUAGUGGAGACGUCUUCUGCAGGCUCGAAAGGAAAGCAGCUGCGCAUUGAUUCAGCCCUCCUGCAGCGCCUCGAGAACGACGUAGUGGCCUGCGAUGAGCUGCGUUGGCGGGCCUUUUCCUUCCCGUCGCACCCGAUUCAUCCUCUGAACGCCAGCUACCGGCAUGAUCCUGGCAGGAAUGCUGGCACGCCAGCCACGGCGGUCGAGAUGCAUCGCGCAAAGCAGUAUUCCUCGAACGGUGCGGAGCACACCACAAACGGAGCGAAAGGGCCCUGCACCCUCGUCAUCAGCACCCGGGCGGAUAGUGAGGCGAGGAGGCGCGCCAAGAAGGAAACGCGCAAGGCAAAGGACAGCUCCGCGGCUGCCAUAGUGGCCACCAGCGGUGGCCCCACGCCAAAAGUGGAGGAUCUGCUGGAAAAUGCCGUCCGGAAGGAGAAGCAGGCAUACUGGUGCCGCGUUCUGGGCGAGGAAAACGUCGACCACGAAACUCCCAGCUCGUCCGCCGGGGCAGAGCGGUGGAUCCCACGCAGCUGGCGACCACUCCUGGGAGGCUAUGUGAGCGCGCCAAGCCGCAUCGAUCAGGCGCGCUUCCUCAUAUUUCCGCAGUCGGGGCACCCCGUCGUGGAUACGCGUGACCCAAAAGCGCUCUCCAGCGCUCCUGGCAAGUCGCUGGAAAGCCCGCAGAGUGUGCCGUACUACGUGCGCGGCAGCGCGAGCUGGGAGGUGGAAGAAAACAACCCGGCUGCGGGAGCCGCAGGGCCGGCGCGUGCAACUUGUGAUGAACCGAGCGAUGAAUCAGCGACGCGGGGGGGGCUGCAUCACAGCCUCACCUAUGCGCUCAUCAACCCGGCGACGGCACCAGAGCACCGCAACUGGGCGGACACGGUGGAAGUCUCUGUCGCUCACCAGCAGGCCCGCACGGAGCGUCAGUAUGCACCUGAAAGGGCGAAGGUGCAGCGGGUGACGCUGCUGGAGGACUUGGUCUCCGUCAAGACGAGCCAAGGCAACCCACGCCACAGCACCCUCAUUUCCGCGACCCGCGCCACGGUGCUGCACAGUGGCAUGAAGCACCAGCGCGCGGUCUCCGCACCCUCCUCCAUUUCAAAGAAGUAUUCCAAGAAGGCGAUGGCGUCAGCGGGCCCAGACGAUGCAUUAUUCCAGCUGCGUAUCGAGGACGUCUACGACAGCAGUGUGCAGCACUUUGCGCUUCCCGGGAUCUGGCAGCGUUGGGUGCGACCUGCUGCAGCCAGAGUCUUCACGAGCGAAUCUGACGGAGCGACUGGCUCGCACUCGCUCGACGAUGCGCCACGCGGUCUCUAUCGCAUGCGCUGGUCAGGCGGGCCGGGAGUGGAGCUGUGUCACAUGGGCGGUUGCACAAACGGCGCAGAAUCGGCGAAGUCAGCCUCCGCGCAGUCAUCUCUCCUGACCAUCUUUGGCAAAUUGUGCUCGGAGUCGUGGGUGCAGGUGCCUCUGUCUUCGCGGUGGACGCUGACGCUGCGCAACCAGUCUGCCGCGGUUGUGCCACUGGAGGCGGGUGCUGUUGUGGCUCCGCCAUCGGUGGCCACCGAGGGCACAGGCUUGGAGUUGGCGAACACUACUCCAUCUUCGGCCGAGGCAAGCGGCUCUUGGAUGGAGCGAGUUUGCACGCACCCGUACUUCUGGGCGACUCAGGGGCCUCGGUGGGACGCCGCUCUCGUACGUGGCUUCAAGAACGACUACAACGGCCUCCAUCACGCACGGCGGUGGUACUCGCUGGUCUCAGCGGAGCUGACGCUGAAUGGAGGAAUGCAGACGGGAAACAGCGCACGCGUGAAGAGGAGCCGCGGCGCUGCGGCACCGCCACUACAAGAGAACGACAGCUCCGGUGGCGCCAAAGAGAACAGGACGGGGAUGGAUGAAGGAAACGCGGAAGACUCGACGCCGACAGCUGGGAGCCGGUGGAGGGGCACCUCGCUGACGGCCUUCGCCAACGCUUGCAUGGUGGACAGCGUGAGCGACUACCCGCGCGCCUCUGUCGGCUUCUCCUUCGCCUCGCAGAUACCUCGUCUCGCCGUCACCCCCUUCAACGAAAUUGUCCCUCGCAAGUUCGAGUGCUCGUUGAGCUGGUUUGCCGCCUUCCAGCCCCGCGCUGGCGAGGCAGCGAGCGGCAAAGGCGUGAAUGGAAGCGCCGGGUUUGGGUGGGGGCUGCAAAGCGGGCUCUCGAGUGCUGACUCCUCCGCCGCUGAGCCCGCAACGGCAGCGGGCGGCAUGCCGUUCCUGCGUGUGUCGCCGGUGGAGACGUUCCAGCACCUGAGGUGCGGGCUGACCUGGCGUUUUGACGACUGAGAACGCCCACAGCGGCAGAAGGGCAGUACCGAGCAGGGGGAUAGCAGGGGGGGGAGGUGCGUGUGUGCGCGCGUCGCGGUCACAGGCACCGGAUCAUAGGAGACAAAACGAAUGAGAGCACAGGGUGCAGCAGCAACGUAACGUGCGCGCGUGCGAGCGUGUCAUGACACGGCACGAGUUUGACUUCUCCUUGUUUCCCAUCCUUAGCAAGGGAGGCGAGAGGCGCGACUCCCAUGAUGUUGUAGCACUAUGGCGCGGCACAGCUCACGCAAAUACCUUAUCCCUCUGUGCACCGCCGUCUCCGACUUUCCCUCCAGAACUUCUCGUGUGUGUGGGCGCAUCUUUAUCACCCAUCCUCCUCCCCGCCUCCUCACGUGGUGCUCCCUGCACCACUUACCUUGCCCUCAAACACCAAG
This 2984-nucleotide unclassified non-coding RNA is filed under the name Leishmania donovani. RNAcentral describes it as "gene:LdHU3.31.0950(CDS-product:hypothetical_prote in_conserved)". The record is from RNAcentral. Lineage: Eukaryota; Euglenozoa; Kinetoplastea; Trypanosomatida; Trypanosomatidae.